AACGAACGCUGGCGGCAGGCUUAACACAUGCAAGUCGAGCGAGACCUUCGGGUCUAGCGGCGGACGGGUGAGUAACGCGUGGGAACGUGCCCUUCUCUACGGAAUAGCCCCGGGAAACUGGGAGUAAUACCGUAUACGCCCUUUGGGGGAAAGAUUUAUCGGAGAAGGAUCGGCCCGCGUUGGAUUAGGUAGUUGGUGGGGUAAUGGCCCACCAAGCCGACGAUCCAUAGCUGGUUUGAGAGGAUGAUCAGCCACACUGGGACUGAGACACGGCCCAGACUCCUACGGGAGGAAGCAGUGGGGACUCUUAGACAAUGGGGGCAACCCUGAUCUAGCCAUGCCGCGUGAGUGAUGAAGGCCUUAGGGUUGUAAAGCUCUUUCAGCUGGGAAGAUAAUGACGGUACCAGCAGAAGAAGCCCCGGCUAACUACGUG
Molecule: ribosomal RNA, 433 nt
Filed under: uncultured bacterium
Lineage: Bacteria
Description: partial 16S ribosomal RNA
Rfam family: Bacterial small subunit ribosomal RNA
Source: RNAcentral